UUUUUUAUCAGCAUUACAGCUCAAACCAUCUGUACUUAAUUGUAAGACAACAAAUUGUCUAAAAACCAGCAAGGAUUAAGAGGACAAAGCUUCUUAUGGACAGUUCAUAUUAGAGAAAUUUAAAGACUUCUAAGAUCACAGCACUUCUUCUGCACUUGUUUUAUUUUAGUCAAGCCCCUGUAUUUAUCUUCCAGAAUGGAAAUACAUAGAGCAUGUUGAUCACUGCCACAGCAGCAGUAAAGAGGUUUAUCAGGGUAUUAAACUUUGAUGAGAAAUCCACUGAUAGCUUAAGAGCUGGCUGACAUUUACCCCUAAAGUUCAUGCAGGGGGAGAAGCCCAGCUGCUGAGCUCCAGUGCUCCACUGACUCCCAGAACUGGAGGAACUGGGCCAGUGGAGUGGGGUGGGAGACAUUCUGCUUGUCAUGCUUCUUGUGUAGCAGAGAAAACAAUUUCAUUUAUGUGGAGUGAGGGACAGAGAUUUUACUGCUGGGUGGAAGGGAGAAAUGGAAGUGGCAGUCACUAAAAAUGUCACCCAAGAGUCUUUGGUGUGGAUGGAGUUAUGUCCAUCUCUUCCUGAUGAACAUCUUCAGUGUCCUGAGCACUUCCAAAAUGUUUUGGAGUGUUGUGUUUGCAUUCCUUUAAAAUUUAUUCCCUUUGCCAGCCGUGAUUUUUUUUCAAUCACUGUGUAGAAAUUAUUAUUGUGCAAUUAAAUAACAAUUCAUGAGAUGAAGAAUCAGCAUUGACCUGUCAAAGUCAGCACUUUGCCCACCUGCCAACUGCAGAUCUCCUCAUUAAAGCAGUGCUUGGUGCAUCUCUCAAAGAAAUCCAUUUCUACAGAAAGGAAAAACCUGCACAUCUGCCAAAAAAAAUUCCUUUUAGGGCUCUUUCUUCUUGUUGUUAAGCUCCUCUUUAAUUUCUUUUAUUCUCUUAGAUCUCUUAGAAAAGACAAUCUUAAAAAAAAAAAAGAAGAAAUUCAAGCUUUCUCUAAAACACAUCAAAAACUGUGAAAAAGCUCUUAGCGGCAUGUCUCCUGGGACUUCUUAUGCACUAAAUGAAAUGCAGAUGCUUUAAUAAUAACUUGUAAAAUAUUUAAAGUUGAGUGAGAUGUUACAACUAAUAAUCUACUCAUUAAAAUAAACAUGCACAUUUUUUAAUACAGUAAUAAAGAAUUGUCUGCCUGGCACACAGACUGCUUUUCAUCUUUGAAAAGCUGGGUGAUAUUGGCCAAGUCCAGAUUAAAAGUUUGUCUUCAACAGAUUUUUUUAAAGGUCAUUAUUUAUUUUUAACACAAAAAGGUCAAAUCUCAUCUAGGACAGUCAGUAAACAACACCAUCUCUACAUUUUGUCAUUUAAAAAAUAUAUUUAAGGUCAAUAUGUUCGAGGUUCAUGCAAAUUAAGAUCACAUCCUUUAUCCCCUCCUUAAAUUCUUUCAUUACUUGUUACUAAUGUCUGUAUUUUCAUUUUAGUUACUUUCUUUUCAAUAAAUUAGCAAAAGAUAGAGCAAAACCAUUUCUUAAAUUUUUAAUUUUUUUCAAAAGCAAAGGUAGCUCUACAGCCUUACACUUAAAUGCUAUUUUACUUAUAAUUUGAGAAGAUGACAAAAUGAGAAGUUACAGGGAUCCAGCCUCACGUAUCCCUGUGCAUUGAGAUGAGGAUUAUUUCAGAAUUAGUGCUGUCCUAAAGCCCACUGCCUUACUGGCUUUGCCAGCUCAUAAAUCCAAUUAAGAUUCCAGGCUGCAUUUUAAAAGCUAAAGAGUCAAUGUGCAAACUACAAACAGCACGUCCUCGAGGGCAAAUGCCUGUGGCCUCAUAACCUCCUUGUCUCAAAUAAAGAUCUUUAAUUUGAUUUUUUUAAUCUUCAUUUAUAUCUAUACACAUGCUUAGCUGUCCUUAGAAGUUAUUUUUUUAAGGAAAAUUCAUAUAGAUGUGCUAAAAAGGUGCAUUUUCUCUAUACCUCCUGGGCAAGAUGGAACUUCCUGAGUGGGACAUUUCAGUAGAAUUGUUCUAUAUUUAAAAUUUUAAUUUUAUGCUUCCAGACUUUUCAACAAGAUCCUAUUCGAUCAUUAAGAGAGAAGAUGAUAAUUUAGUACCUAGGAGCAUUUUCAAGAAAAAAAAUUUGAACUUGUGUUUGUUAGGUAAAAAAGCCAAACCAAAAAGAAGCUCCAAUUCUCUGAAGGGUAUUUAUUCUAAUAAUAAUUUUAAUUUAUCAUGUCUGCUACACAUUGUAACACAAUGAAAUAGUUAGUAAUACAAAGUAAUUUUUAUUCAGGUAUUUUUUCAGUGCUGAUUAUUAGUUCCACUGUGUAGCUCUAAACUUCAUAGUAGUUCUGAACUUCAUAAACUUUUAAGCUUGAACUUUACUGACUAAUUUUAGUUAGGCAAGAUCUGGUCAAAAUUAACAACUGCUUAAUCUAUUUCUUAGAAUUUUAUUUUUCAUUUUAUUACAUUUCUUUGCAAUUUUAAAUGACAAGACAGACUAUUUGUAUGAGUUAAUUAAAAAAAAAAUUUAGACAUCUGCUUAAUAAAACUCAGCUAACAAAUGUAUUCCUCUGACAUAAACCCACCCAGAAACUUCUUUCUUUUCCAUGUUUUAAGGAUUGUUCUACACAGAUCAUCCCAAAUAAUGUUAUAAUUCCCAUAUGUGCACACCACACUUGUGUCAAUGAAAUUAUUGUAACACACAGGGGGAAGGGAAAAUAAAAAAUUAAAGGAAAGAAAUGUGAGAGCCACAAUACCAAACUGAGUUUGGCUCCCAAACUCUAAAUGUUGAGAUUCGUCUUGAUUUCUGAGGAGAAACAUAUAAAAAUACCAGUGAAUGCAGUCUUGUACAUGUGCUCAUCAUGUUCAAAAUCAAGGAUAAUCCAGAUUUUCUAGAUUGCCUGAAGUGGGUCAGAAACUCCAGGAAUAACUGGUAAAUCCCAGUUUCUUCUCCAGGAUUCAGUGCAGAUGCACAGUGAUCACUGGGAAAAAUCCUCAUUUUUCCCAGAGGAAUUAUUGCAGGACUGCUGGACAUCCCCAAAAUUCAGAUCAACAUCGACUUCCCAUCAAAGAUUGCAGAACAGCAGAGACUCUAAACCAGAAAUUUCUCUGAGAAAAACAAAAAA
Molecule: long non-coding RNA, 3104 nt
Organism: Taeniopygia guttata (zebra finch)
Lineage: Eukaryota; Metazoa; Chordata; Aves; Passeriformes; Estrildidae
Source: Ensembl